Molecule: ribosomal RNA, 590 nt
Filed under: uncultured bacterium
Lineage: Bacteria
Description: bacterial SSU rRNA
Rfam family: Bacterial small subunit ribosomal RNA
Source: RNAcentral
CCUACGGGAGGCAGCAGUGGGGAAUCUUGCGCAAUGGGCGAAAGCCUGACGCAGCAACGCCGCGUGCGGGAAGAAGGCUUUCGGGCUGUAAACCGCUUUCAGCAGGAACGAAAAUGACGGUACCUGCAGAAGAAGGAGCGGCCAACUAUGUGCCAGCAGCCGCGGUGAUACAUAGGCUUCAAGCGUUGUCCGGAUUUAUUGGGCGUAAAGAGUUCGUAGGCGGUCGAGUAAGUCGGGUGUGAAAAUUCUGGGCUCAACCCAGAGACGCCACCCGAUACUGCUUGACUUGAGUUCGAUAGGGGAGUGGGGAAUUCCUAGUGUAGCGGUGAAAUGCGCAGAUAUUAGGAGGAACACCGGUGGCGAAGGCGCCACCCUGGAUCGAUACUGACGCUGAGGAACGAAAGCAUGGGUAGCAAACAGGAUUAGAUACCCUGGUAGUCCAUGCCGUAAACGGUGGGCACUAGGUGUGGGUUUCUAUUAACGAAAUCCGCGCCGUCGCUAACGCAUUAAGUGCCCCGCCUGGGGAGUACGGUCGCAAGCUAAAACUCAAAUGAAUUGACGGCUGAGAGNGCGAGCGACGACGAGGAGAG